Molecule: long non-coding RNA, 693 nt
Organism: Hyaena hyaena (striped hyena)
Lineage: Eukaryota; Metazoa; Chordata; Mammalia; Carnivora; Hyaenidae
Exons: 3
Source: RefSeq, a predicted model, not a curated record
CGAAGGGUAGACAGGCCUGCUGGGAUACUCCCGGAUGACUGCGUAGGGCAGUGGGCCGGCUUCGCUGUUCCGCGGAACGCCGGGAAGAGGUCACUUCCAAGGGAAGGUUCCGGUUCCGGUGUAGGCGGUGGUUGAGUUGCUGUGGCAACGCGAUACCUGCGCGCCCGGUUUCCUCGUUCAAGGGCGGCGGCGGGGCUGGAGCCGGCUUGGGUCCGCCUCUCCCAGCCUAGAUCCAUGGAAUUCCGGUAAAUCAGAGGAGCAGGCAUCAUGAACAGAAAUCUAUAUAGGAAACGUCAUGGUACUGAAGGCUAAGCCUUGUUGCGGAAGUCGAGUCCCAGGUGCACUUAUCAGUAGGGGAUGUAUUAUUUCCCAAGUCACCUAACCUUUUCCUCGUGCUUCUAUUCUAGGAGAAGAAUUCACCGACUUCUGUUCUGAGGAUCCGGGGACGCAGGACGGUAACAGGGGGUAGCACUUGUCUUACCUAGUGUGUGACAUUGGCUUGGAAGCAUAGUUGUCUCUCUCACUUUCAGACGUUUCACUGAGAGCACAGCUGUCAUUAAAGGUUCCAAGUAAGCCCUGAGCAGGAAGACUACCCAGCCUGCGUUCUUGGAAUUUACCAGUAAGCAGAGUUGCUGUGUGCGGCGGAGCCUAAGAAAGGAUAUGAGAAAGCGUGUCUGUGCUCAUUCAGAACCU